RNAcentral lists this unclassified non-coding RNA (3278 nucleotides) under Hevea brasiliensis (rubber tree). Lineage: Eukaryota; Viridiplantae; Streptophyta; Magnoliopsida; Malpighiales; Euphorbiaceae. The record is from RNAcentral.
GGUAAAUGGAGACAUAUAAAGAAUGAACUCAUACAAAGCAAUGUUCCUUGUGCAUUACUAACCUUGUCUUGCCAGAAAUUAGCCAACAAACUUUUUUGUUCCCUCCUUUUUAGCAAAGAAAAACACAAGUGACAACCUUGCUGAUUCCACUUUCAACUAAAAUUAAAAAAAAAAAAACAAUAAUAAUAAUAAAAUAAAAUAAAAAUCCAGGACUUUACUUCAUCUAUAGUAAUUCUGAAUUUAUAAAGCAUCACACUAAACGGCUGUUGCUAGGCAUUACCAUUUUGCUGUCAUUGUUCUUCAUAUGCCAUUCGUUUUCUCCUCUUUAAAUAAGAAUGAUGCCUUUCAUACCUUUCCAAUUCUUUAUCAUCAAUGGUCUCUCUUGCUUAGAGCUGCUGGUUGAAUCUUGUCGCAAUCUUUAAUAAGAAAAGAGGCAGCCAUUUCCAGGCUGUUUAUUUAUCCUUGCUUUGCAGGCUAGCUGGAACUUCUGGGGCUUGCAAUCCUGUCAGUGGGGAAACUUUUUUCAGAAGCUUUACCAAUACCUACGGAUAACAGCAGGUUCGGUAAACUGGUUUCUUGUGCAAAAUGAAAUCUAUCAUAUGCUGCAUUUUCAGGUUCAAUAUUGUCCAAGUCUCCGGAAAUGUCUGGCGGAUGUGUUGUGCUCUUAUCAACAGAAUAAAACUCAUCUUUCAUAGCAUCGGAUAACAAAUCAGGACCAUUCAACUCUGUAUUCAAUGUCACUUUUCUAUUGUUGACAGCAACUUCUGAUUCCUCUGUGGCCACUAGAUCCUCUUCUGACAAUGAAAAAACCUCUAAUGAACUUCCAGCAUCAUCCUGGAGAGUUUCACUUGCAUGAUCAGAAUGAUUUUCUGGUGGAACAACAAGAUCACUACCUAUCUCACCAUUUGAAUGUGAUUUGACUUCCUCUAUUUCCAGCAGCCUUUGAAUUGCUUCAGCUGCAGCUUUUGUAGCCCACUCAUCAUCAUCAUCUCUUAUAGGAUCCAAUCCAGCUGAAAUGAAGGAUGAUUUCAUGAGAUUUGCAGGAACCACGGGGUUCUUGGAGAAGUAUUCUCCAUACCUUGUGAUUUCCACUAGAAAAUGCAUGUCUAGAACAAACUGAUUUUCUUCAUUAGUUUUCCAAAUAUCUUUGUUGUUUGAAAUCCAGACAAAUAUGGAUUCAAUCAAUUCUCUUAAAAGCUCCAUCAACCAAUCCACUUCAAAAACGUUGAAUUCAGUAAGUUUAUCUAAUUUCCUCAGUUCCAGAAACAACACCUGAAAGACAGCAGAGGGCAUCGCCAUCGGACCAUUACCCAGGCUGGAACAAGUCUCACUAUCAACACAUAUUUCUGGGGUCCAUUUGCAGACCUCAAGAGACACUACUCUGUAUAUAAAUUGCUGGAAGAACUGAGCUCUAAGCUGAGCAGAAGCUUGUUGAAUGACCAUCAAACAACUAUCAAGUUCCUGCUGCUGAGAACCAUUUUUUGUUAGCUCAGAAUCACUACAGUUGAUGCCGCUGAAAAUGCUUGUAAGAGUGCUAGAAAAGAAACGUUCAAGCGUUGACAGAUUUGACAGAAUUGAAACUUGUUGUGGCACUGACUCUGCCAAAAUUAUUCUUGAACCUCCUUUUUCUGGCACAUUUAUUUUGGAGGUGAUAGCUUUUUCAAGGAUGGCAAUAUACUCUAUGAAGAGGUUACUGAGUCCAGAAAGGAUAGAACUUUCCAUUUGAAGGGCAGCUAAAGGGGUAACAUCCUUGAUGAUAGCCUGCAACAGAGUUACAAACUUCCGGCCACUGUUAGUGAGCAUACAGUAUUCUGGUUGCUGCCCAACAACCAUAUAAGAGCAGUCUUCAUUCAAGAUUCCAGAUACGAGAUAUCUGCCCAAAACCCAAGCAUCAGUAGCCGUAAAGAUGCUGAUGACUUUCUUAAAAUGGUCUAUAUGUGUCUCUAAAACAUCUUCCAUACAAGUCCGAAGGUGCUUAACCAAGCAUGGCUGCAAUACCAAUCUUUGAGCUUCUAAUAAAGAGCAAUAUGAGAUUGCAAACUGCACAGCUUCUACCGCUGCAGACAGUCCACUGCUUAUUUCUGAGGUAGAUUUAAGAUGUUUAGCAAAAGAAACAACAAAUACUUCAAUUUCUCUUUCAGCCCAUAGAAUUAGUUCUAAAGCAUAAGGAGAAGUUUCUCCAUAAAGCAUUACAAAGCUCCUUGCUGCUUGAGAAAUCAUAGAAAAUACAAAUUUUGAAAGUUCUUUGAUAUACAACCCUUGUAAAAAUGAUUUUGAACUCUGUAAAUUAUUUAUUCCAGUUGCAAGACGUGAAUGAUAAUAUUUGAGCAAUAACUGAGUUGAUAGAUGACCCUCGCCCAGCCUGCAAAUUCCAACUAGUGCCUUCUGGAGUUCUGCAGCAGUAAUUCUUGAAUUUUCAGCGACCAGAGUUAAUUGCAAUGUAAGCAUGGCCUUCCUCUCAGAAAUUGCAGAGUUAUAUAACAUUAAGACAUCUGAUGGUAUAUCAUCUUCAAGCUGCACCUCUUGUAGGUUUUCUUCCUCCAUUUCUAAAAUUGCAAUAGCAUCAUCAGCUCGAUUUUCUGAUAGAAGCAUGUCCAGGGUUUCUGAAAUAUUACUGAUGUGAGCCUCCAACUGAUUUAAGGGAGCAUAUUCAUCACAUUUCAGCUCCUCAGUGAUUGAUUCCACGGUUUCCUCUGAUAAAACCCUUAGGUAUACACUAUCAGUUAGAUAUUUUACAAGCCUCUUUUGCAUUGAAACAUGGGUUCGCAGCUGCAUCAAUUCCUUUUCCAUUUCUUUUACUUCCUCAUAUACUCUGCGAGCAUUAUACAUUGGGCAAAAAAACAUAUUGAUUUAACAUGAAAAAGGACCAGUCCAUCGGAAGAUAUUUUUUUUAUUACUUAAACUAAGCAUACCACACAUAACCAGAUUACUUGUAAAUGUGCUUAUUUGCAGCUAUUUGAGCAAAUUACACCAAAAUAUUUGAAUGAGACAAUAUGACAAAUGGGGAAACGGUUAAGAACAAAAAAAAAAUAAGAAAGGUACCCAACAAAGGUAGAAUAAUUAGCGAAAAUAUUUCUAUGAAAAUCCUCAUCCGAUGUCGCCUUUAUUUCCAGUAGCUCCGUACAAAGACGCCUUAUCCCCUUUCCGGUCAUGGAUUCGAGCUCGGACUCCUCAUCUCUGUCGCUAGACAAGGAGGAGAUGUCGGAACUGGCAUCGGAAUCUGUUGCAUCCUCCGGUUGCUGGUGGUCACGGAAUUGGAACCUAGAAGACGCCGUAAA